AGCUCAGGAUCGGCUCCUAAGCACGUUGAAACAGCGUCUCUCUUACAAACGUCGUUUUCUCGCCGGAUUUCGUCUAACAGACACGCAAUUUCCGGAGGCGCCCCUACCUGAAAAGGCAUCCAAUAAAACCGAAAGCUUAAAAAGCGAAGUACAAAUGAACACAAAAGCGACUAGAAUUUUCCUCCGAGAAAUUACAGGAAAGUUAGAUCAGUAAAUACAAAGGACUUUCGCGGCACGUUGCCAGGGAAAUAUAGCGAAAUUGACAGGAAAAUAAUGACAAUUUUGAAAGGUUUUCAAAGCAAACGAAAAACGCAAUUCAUUAUACACUUUUCUUUUCCAAGAAAACAGAAAAAGGCUUAGAUCUCCAAAGUUAAAACGAAAGUCAAAAACAAUAAAUCCGCCAUAGAAGCCAUAAACGCAACGUACGACGGCCAAAUCGGAGUUAUUUGGAUAAUGUAAAGCUCAUUAACUUGAAAUCGGAUGACUAAGAGAAAAGCGCCAUCACUGUACAUAAUUCAAUGCUCUAAACAAACUUGGUUUCUCUAUAGGCGACUGGAACCACAACCAAAACUUCGAAAACUUGAAUUCGAGUUUGAAAAACUAAAAACACUUGAAACAACUCAUGAAGACGCCCCAUCUUAAGCCUCAUCCUCGGAUUCAUCACCAUGAAAAAGAAGUUUCACCUUCUGACAAUCGAUGUAAGCUUCGAGCAAUCUCGGGUAGCAAGGAUGGGAAGCGAUUUUGGCUUUGAUCACAGAAGACACAUCUUCUUCUCGUUGAAUUUCGGGCGUGAUCGAAGCAGUCUCUGAUAUAGCAGAAGCCACCGAAAUUAGCUCGUUCGAUCCAAACACGGGAAUCCGAUAGUCACGAAAGGCGGCUGCGGAGGAGAAGAAGCUCUGGUAAUCCGCCGGCAGUAUCAGAUUCUCCGGCGACAUCAGCACCUUGUCGGAGUAGUCGGACGUCGAAUUGAGACCGUACACUUCCUCCAUGAUUCUCUUCUAGAAGAACGAUGAGAAUUGCAGAAGAUUAAAAGGCCAAUAUCACAUGAACUGUGGAGUAGUAGAGAACCUUUGUAUUAUAGUUGUUUAUAUUUAUAAUUUUAUAUACAUAUAUAUUUCUUUAAAAUAAAUUUAAUUCCCACCCCCAUAAAAAAAUAAAAUAAAAUAUAACAUAAAGUUAACUGGAAGCUCGCAUUUGCUGUAAUGCAGAAAUGAAGUGCGAGUGUGAUUUUCACACGCGGGUGCCGAGAGGCAGAGCUCUGAGAGCCCCUCAAAGCUAAUCCGGUAAUCCCUUUUCCUAUUUCUUUAUAUAAUAGUUUUUAUACACAUCACUUCCCCCGUAAUUCUUUUAUUUUUUAUUUUUUAUUUUUUAUUUUUGUAAAUUAUUAAAUAAAAUAAAAUCCCCUUCAAAUGUCUACGCAAAGUCAUCGCACAAGCAUUACUUUCUAUGGCAAAAAUGCGCUGUCUCCACUCUUUUAUAAUAUUAAAAUGUAAAGAGCAUGAGGGCAUGUUUGGAUGUUUUGGGAAUAUCGAAUGACUUGAAUUGUUUUUACCUUCAAGCUUCAUCACAUACCAUCCACAAAUUCUCAAUAUUCUUUCCAAUCUACUCACAAAGUUUAGCCAAAAAUGAAACAAUUGAGAGAUGAAUAGAGGAAUCAGCAAUAAAAUGAUAACGCUGCACCAUACAAUUGACUUGAAACAUGAACCUAAAAAGAAAUGUCAUUCGCAAUAAAGUCAAAUGUAGGUGAUGGAUGAUUAAGGUUGAAAGGGCAUGCAAAGCAUAAAAGGGGGCAUUCAAAAAUUUCAUCUGAAGUCCAAUGUCCGAAUGUGCCCUAAUCAUAACCCUCCCUGUCAAUUAGCAGCAUCUUUGUUGUGUUUCACGGGUAUGGCUUGUCCUAUUUUUUGCCAGCAGAUGCGUUCCAUGCCAUCUCCAUCUUCUGUGCCUUUGCUUAUAUUUAAAUUUCAUUUUUAUAGGAUUUUUAAUUUAAAAUAUUUUAAAUUUUACGCAAACAUAACCCUUAAAUAUAAUCAUUUUAAAACUAUGAAAAUGGAAAAAUCAUUGAAGAAUAAUAGACAAAUAAAGAUUCAUAUGUUAUAACUAAAUAUUAAAAAACAAUAAAAUGGAAAAAGAGAAUAAUAAUAAUAAAAAACAUACGCAAAUGAGAUAAUAUAAGAAAGUUGGUUUAUCAAACAUGUGCAAACCAAUAUGAACUAAUACACGAGAAUUUAGAAAGUAUUGACCACGUCUUAUACAACUCUAAACUAGGAACCUUUCAAAGUUUGAAAUUUUGAAUUACAACUCAAAUAGUAACAUCAACAAUUCAAUAUAAUGAUUGAUCGUUGAACUAAAAAUUGGGAAUAUUUUAAAUGUUUCACAUUGGGACAAUAUUCCGCGCGAGACUUUAGACUUUAAAGGUAGAGUCCGAAGUCAUAAAUGCAACAUAGAACAAAUUUUCAAUAAAAAAAAUUCAGAAAAAGACUUUUAACUACUUCGUUUGUAGGAUCAAGGAAAAAUAAACUAACGCCUCCAUAAGAAAUUCUAUUCUCACUUCAUAGAUGAACAAUUUCUUCGAUUUCUUAACCAACCAUAUAAGGCAAAGGAUUGGAUCGGAUGAUUUUUUAACUUCUAAUAGAAUUUGAUUCUUAAAAUUUGGACGUAAAAGUUGUGAAUAUGUGUAGUUGAUGAAGUUUUUUGUUUUCAACUAAGUUUUAAAAAGACUACAAAAUCUAGGAUUGGCAAUUCACUCAUAUUUUGCAUAAUGAAACAUUACUCCCUGCUACCCCACCCUCCAUAUUUUUCAAACUUCCAUCUAUUCAAUCCACCACUGAUGAUAAGAAUCAAAGAUAUUCCGAAUAUUAUAUCACUAGGAUUGCUAUUGGAAUUGAAUUUUUUAUAUCAUACAUCAUACAUACCAUCAUAUGCAUGUACAAAUAUUAUAUUCCUUCGAUGUAUAAAAUUUUGAUAAUUUAAGCAACAAAAACCUAACCAUGUAUCUAAGAAAAAAAAAGGAACAAAAAAAAUAAAUUAUAUUAUAAUCCUGUAUAAGAAUUCAUCUGAUAAUGAUUUUAGGAAACACUUUAAUUUUUCUAACUAUUCAAAAAAUUUAUCAUUCAAGUGUUAAAAAAAUUAAAUAUAUUAGGAACAUCGUUUAAAAUUAAUGUCAAACACGUUCUCAAUAUUUUAUAUUCUAUUAUACCACAACAACUUAAAUCAUCUUAUUUGAAAUAUAACUGAAAUUUAUCACUUAAUAUUGAUUCCCAUUAUUUUUCCUAAUCAUAAAUAGCUCAUUUUCAAUGGAAGAUCGUCAUAUUAACAUGUCAAUGUGUUUUAAUGACUAAUUUUUAGGAAAAACCGAAUUGUAUAAACAAAAACGAAAUAAAACGUAGAAAAUCAUAUAAAUACAAAAUUAAAAUAAAGUGGUGGGCAAGCCCAAAGAGAGGUGAGGAAGAAAGGUGACCAAAAUAAAGGUUGCCAACAGAGGAAUUUCUUAAGUUAAUAAUACAUUAGAAGAUUCCAAGGAUGAAUAAGGUUUGUGAAUUACCAUGCCAUCUACUGUGGCCCACAGGAAUCUGGUUGUUCCAUACACCCGAUUCAUUCAUUAAUAUUCAUCUCCCACUCCACAAUUAUUCUAUAUACUUCAUAAAAGAUUUUUUUUUUUUUUUUUUUUUUUAAUUUCUCACUUUUUGCUUUCCUUGACAAGGAGAACCCCAAGGUUUCUUCCUCACGCUUCAUCUUACAAUUUUGUAAGUCAUGUCAUGAAAAAGUGAUAAAGAAUUUAAGUAAUUAACUAAAGUUAAUUAGAUAUCUUUAUAUAUCUUGCUUUCUAAAUAUAUGUGAUAACGACUUAAAGUUAUAAUAAUUUAAUUUAAAUUGAAUAAAAUUUAUAUUUUAUACACACAUGCAAAAAGCUAAAAAAGAACAGAUUCAUCCUCUCAUCUAAUUUUUAUACACAUUUAGGGUGAUUUUAUUUAAACCCUAUUUGCAUUUGGUCCUUACUAAUUUUCUAUGCUUUUUCAAAAAAAUUUCAAACCAAUUUCUCUUUUUUUUCCUCUCUUCUAUAUAAAAGUUAAAUUAUUUUAAAAUAAGAAAUUUUAAUUAUAUUUUUAUAAUAAAUUAAAUAUGAAAAAUUAUCUUUCUUAAUACUUUUUUUUAAAAUAUUAUUAUUUAAUGAGCUUAUUAUUUAUCAAUAAAAAUAAUAAAUGUGUUCAAAGAAUAAUACAUACACCCCUAAAAUAUUCUAAAAAAAAUUAAUUAUUAAUUAUAAAAGAUAAAAAGAAUUCCAAAAAUUUCAUAAUUCAAAGAAAUAGUUGAAUGGUUACCAAAAAUGUUGGAAUUGGAUAAAAUUGAAUUGUAAAAUGUAACUCAAUAUUAUAUUAUAUAUUUUUAUUUUAUUUUUACAUAUUUCACCGGUUAAUCUUUUCUUGGACCUUGAGGUAUGUUUGGUUUUGGAAUUUUUUUUUUUUUAGAAAAAAAGAGAAUAAGGAGAAGGAAAAAAAAAAAUAUAUAUAUAUAUAUAUAUAUAUUUAAGAUUAAUAAAUUAUUUUAUUUGUUACUUUAAAUUUAUUUAAUAUAUUUUUUAUUUUUAUAUAAAUAUUAAAUAAUUUAAAAAUAUAUAAAUUUAUAAUUAAUAUAAAUUAUAUUUGAUUUUGUUUUAUAUUUUUUUAUGUUAAAAUUAAAUGUAAAAAAAAUUAUUUUUUUUAACACUUCUUUUCCUUUUUGUUAUGGGAUAAAUAUAGCCCAAAAGUUACUAUAUGUAUUUUUUUUUCCUUCUAUAAUAUAAUUUAUCAAACAUCUUCUUAUCUCUUAUUUUUAGAAAUACAAAAUUCAUAUUCAUUAUUUAUAAAAAUAAAAUAUUUAAAUUUUUAUAUUUUAAAAAUGAAAAAAAAAACACACAACACACAAUUAUCCCUGGGCCUAAAAUAUUUUAUUUAAUCCACGACCAAUUUUGAUAAAAGAUUAAUUUUAAUAAAAAUAAAGCAUAAAUUCUGACUAGCUUUAAUUUAUAUUAUUUACUGUAUUUCUAUUUCAGAAAAUAAUGAUGCCACAUUUUCCCUUAACAGACUAUUUGCAAAAAUGCUAAUAUAAAAGUUAGUAUUAUUUAAAUAAAAAUAAUAAUUUUUAAAUUCGAUUAAGAAUUUUAUUAUUUAAUUUCUUUUUAAGAAUAAUUUUUAAGGGGAUAAGGUAAAAUCUAUAUAUUUUUUAAUAAGAACGGGUAUUUUUAUAUAAAAAUUUUAAUUUUAAAUAAAAAAUAUAUUCAAAGUUCAAACUUAGAUUGGUCUAGGCAGGUGAUGGCUAAGAAUGGAGCAAGUAUGCUUUUCAAAAUUUAGGGCCCCCAUGUACAAAUAAAAACAAAAGGAAGUCAAGUAUUCACGGGUUUCGACUCUUUAGGCUUUCCAUCUUUCUCUCUCUCUCGGUGGAAGCAAGCAAAGCAAGCUAAGCUUAGGGGUCAUUACAGUUUUGAUGACUGAUUGAUUGAUUUGAUGACUUUGAUGGGAUCAGUGAAAACUGCAAAAGGAAGCCUCAUGCCAGUCACCCAAACCCCCUCCGUCCCCCACUCCCGCUCCCCCCAUUGCUCUCGAAGUUCACAAAAGCACGUAUUUUGAGGCUCUAAUCCUAUGCAUUCUUUACAGGCGGUUUGUGCAUGCCCAAACACGCCUUAAGCCAAGCAAAACAAGCAGUCUUAAACACAGGGAAAGGAAAAGGGGGGUGGUACCUGGAGAGUGGAGAGUGGAGAGUGGAGAGUGACAGUUUUUGGUAGAAAGUUGAGAUAUGAAAGGCAGAUCAGCGGCUGGAUCCAUGCCUUGAUACUGGAUGAGCAGAGCGAGUAGAGGCUGAGCCGCUGCUGUACUCUUCCAUCGCUACUCAUCAGCCAUCAACCCCCCAAUCCCAUACUUCUUUUCUUUUGUAUUUGGAAGUGUUAAAAGAGCUGGAAGCGAGCCAGUGAGAUGUGAGAGAAGGGAGAAUUCCGUUUACUUCUCCAGGGACUCCAUCCUUUUAUAUACACAUUGUUUGGCAACGCUGCCUCCCC
This 6028-nucleotide long non-coding RNA is filed under the name Vitis vinifera (wine grape). RNAcentral's name for it is "long non-coding RNA (VVIN_LNC000117)". The record is from RNAcentral. Lineage: Eukaryota; Viridiplantae; Streptophyta; Magnoliopsida; Vitales; Vitaceae.